UUAAUCGGGUUUGGAACGUCACUACGACACGCCAAUCAGGCGCUAUGACGUCGCAGAAGCAGAAGAGGAACCAGGCUGUUUGUUUCUUUACUUGCCGGUUUUCUCCGAUUCUCUGCAAGUUUCUCCUACUCCACGUAUCCUCGUACUACCGCACUCUGUUAUCAGUCCCUCCUGGUCCCCGAAAUCGCUCCCUGGGCAAGAUGGCUCAGUCCACUGGCCGCGCAACAGUGGCGUCUGCUCACCCCAGUAGACAGCAAACAGCUGCCAUUCUCCAGGAAGGAGGAAGGAGGCAAUUUCAGUGGUGACGCGAACAACAGACGAAUAAGGUAAGAGAUGAAAAAAAACGGGGCGUGUACUCGUGAGCAGGACGCACACAUGAUUAUUACUCGAGCAUGUGGGAAAUAAACAGUGAGGCUGGGCUAUCAAAUACCUGGCCGUUACACUCCCCCCCCCUUGUGAAGACCGAGCCAGAGAGGGUUACAACUCUUCCAUGAUUCCAAAAAGGUAGUAUCACUCAUGAUAUUGUUUUCUACAGCUCGUUUCCAGAUCAGAUACAAACCCUGGAAAAUCUUCAUCAUCACUUUCUUCCCGAAAAAUUUCAAGAACCCUUCUUGUCUGGGCUCUAUCCCAUUCCUUGGCUGAGGGGUAGCAAGGUUUCAUUUGAGCUAAAUGAACCACCCGAAGGUCCUCUCCUGUAUCUUCAGUGACCACUUCAAAAUUCACCGGUCCGGUUCUACGUACAACGCGGUAAGGCCCCUUCCACCUCGGAGCAAGCUUUGCGGUGAAAGACUUGUCUCCUUUCGAUAAUGGGUGUGUACGGAUCCAAACACGAUCUUCUUCAUUGAAUUCACCAUCACGCCUUCCUUUAUCAUAUUGUUGUUUUUGCUUGUGUUUCGCUCUUUUCAGAUUUUCCAUGGCAAAUCUUCUGAGUUCCUCCAUUUGCUUAGCAGUAGCAUAAGCAGCAGUAUCGGGGUUCCCUAGAUGAGGGCUCAACUCAGCAUCCAAUGGACCUUUGAGAACACGACCAAUAUUCAGCUCGGCGGGAGUCACUCCAGUAGGCUCAUGUACAACUGUGUUAAGGGCAAAACGAAAUUCAGGUAGGAACUUAUCCCAGGAGGUAUGUUUGUUUUCUACAUAAGAAGCAAGCAGGACUUUGAUGUUACGAUUGAUUCUCUCUGUCAGAUUUGUUUGAGGAUGGUAAGCAGAGGUUUUCUUCUGGAAAAUAUUCCACCUUUUACAGGUCUCCUCGUACACAGACGAUAAGAACUGUGGACCCUGGUCAGACAGGAGGUAAGUGGGGACACCCCAUCGGGUUACAAUUUCUUUAACCAAGUACUGAGAGACAACCUCUGCUGUGGCUUUACGUAGAGGAAACAGUUCCACCCAACGGCUGUAAUAGUCAACGAAGACCAAAAGAUACAUGUUGCCAUGGGAACUACGUGGAAAAGGGCCCAUCAAAUCUACCCCUAACAUUUCCCAAGGACCAUGCACUUUGGUUUGUUGCAGCUUUCCAGGAGGUUUGCGCGUCUCUGGUUUAUACUUCUGACAGGUGAGACAACGUUGCACAUAGUUACGAACAUCCAGGCUCAUUCGUGGCCAAUACACUAAUGCUUGUAAUCUCUUAUAGGUCUUAUAUCGCCCAAAAUGUCCAGAGAGCGGAUCAUUAUGAUAGUGAUGGAGGAGUUGUGGACGGAGUGAAGGAGGAAUGUAUACUUGAUAAAUGGUCUUAUGGGGAAGCUUCACCACACGGUAUAUCUUAUCCUCUAAUACUGUGUACUGGGUUGUUAGAUCUUCAGCCACUUCUCCUUUUUCCAUUAUUUCUUUAUAUAAAUCUUGAGCAUAAGGAUCCUGUUGUUGGGCUCUCCAAAUAGUUUCAUCAGUUACAUGAAGAGGACUAAAAGUGUCUCUGUUAGAACGGAGCACAGCAGCACAGGUGGCACGGGGAAACUCUAUUUCCAAUGGAGCUCGUGAUAGAGCAUCAGGAACAAUAUUGGAUUUCCCUUUUCGAUACUCAACCGUAAAUGAGAAUUCUUGGAGGCGCAAGGCCCAACGAAUGAGCCUUGUACUUGGCUUCUGUGUUUUAAAAACCCAGACAAGAGAAGAAUGAUCCGUAAUCACAGUAAAGUGACGCCCCUCCAGGUAAUAACGCCAUUUUUCAAUCGCCCAAACUACAGCUAGGCACUCCUGCUCAGUAGUGGAGUAAUUCCGCUCUGCUGCGUUUAGGGUACGGCUAGCAAAGGCGAGCACUUGCUCUGUCCCCAGUCCAGUUUGUUGGGCCAGCACAGCUCCUAAACCAACAUCACUGGCAUCGGUAUAAACCACAAAGGGCAAGUUAAAAUCAGGAUGUCCAAGGAUUGGCGGAGAGAUCAAAUACUGUUUUAAUUUCUCAAAUGAAGUUUGGCAUGUAGGAGUCCAAAUAUACUUUGCUCCCUUCCUUUUUAGUGCAUUUAAUGGUUCUGUAAGUGUGGAGAAGUUUGGUACAAAUCUAUGAUACCAGCCAGCCAUGCCCAAAAAUCUCUGAAGCUGUUUCAGGUUCUGAGGGACGGGAAAAUCCUGCACAGCUUUGCUCUUCUCGGUGUCCACUGCUACACCGUCAGAUGACACAACAUGUCCCAGAAAUGUAAGCGAAGUCCGGAAGAACUGGCUUUUCUUCAUGUUGACUGUGAGGUUAGCUUCACGCAAUUUAUCCAAGACCUUUUGUAUGUCCUGUUGAUGUUGUAGAUGAGAAUGAGAGUAGAUGAUAAUGUCAUCAAGAUAAACAAAACAGAUUUUUCCACGCAGCUCUCCAAGGACAAUCUCCAUCAACCGCUGGAAAGUAGCGGGGGCAUUUUUUAAUCCAAAUGGCAUCACUUUAAACUGAAAUAAACCAUAUGGACAUACAAAGGCAGUCUUCUCACAACUGUCUGGAUCCAUUUUGACCUGCCAAUAUCCACUGUUAAGGUCUAGAGUGGUAAAAAUCCUAGCUCCAGCCAGUGAUUCCAGGAUCUCUUGGAUGUUGGGCAGAGGAUAUGAGUCCGUCUGAGUAGCAGCAUUGACCUUCCUGAAAUCAACACAAAAGCGAGGUUUGGGGUCACUUUUUUUUGGUACCAGAACAACUGGAGCUGCAUAUGGUGAGGAUGAGGGCUCAAUGAUGUUCCUUUUAAGCAUGUCAUCCACAUGUUCUUUAAUUACUUGGAGUUUGGCCGGAGAAACUCUGUAAGGUUUUUGUUUAAUAGGCAAAUCAUGCGAGAGGUAAAUUUUAUGGGUAAGUACCUCUGUACAUCCCAAAACGUCAGUACACACAGCAGAGUUUUCCUGAAGUUGGCAAUAUAAUAAUCUUUUACCAAAUUCGUCUAGGUGAGCCUGGGUGACAGCGUUCUGGAAGAGAUCAAGGCAUGAUGGAGUUGUUAAUAAUUGGGUUGGAGCAACAGCAGAGAAGAAGGCAACCUGAUGUGAGGGUGAGUUUAACAAUGCGGCUGACUCUUGCAGGAACUGAUAGUGUUUUCUCUGGUUAAAUUUAAACCAGUAUCUCUGCUCUGACACAUCAAAUUGUAGACCGGAAAGGGAUAUGAAAUCAAGACCCAGCACCACAGAAAAAGCAAGGCUUUGAACAGGCAGGAUUACACAAGGUAGUCUAAUGGCUCGGGAUUGUACAGUAAUGAUUAUUUCGCUCCAUCCAAACGGUUGUCUUUCUUGUCCAUCAGCCAAAUACAAAGGCCCUCUCUCCCAGGGCUGAAUAUUUCCAUUAAGUUCUGACCACACCCUUUCAUUGACCAGAGUAUAUGAAGAUCCUGUGUCCAGAAUAGCAGUUCCUUGCCAAGGUCCAAGGGUCACAGGAACUCUUAACUGGACUGGCAGAGAUCGACCCGGGGGGGUAAAAGCAACCCCAACUUCACUCUGGGGUUCCGAAGUAGUAAGAGACCCAACAGUGGCAGGUUUGUUUUGGACCGGAGAUGGUCUCGCUACCGGCUGAGAAGGACCUUGUGGUGAUGAGGUCCGAUUAGAGCCUCCAUGUGGACAAACGACAGGUAAAUGGUUCCCCUUACAUCGCCAACAGAAUGGUUCAAGUGGCCGUUUUUGAUUAUAAUUCUGUGUCUUCGGCCGCACAGUUUGUUCAGUGGUUGGUGGUCGAGAUUCAGCAGGCCUGGGUGUUGCAGCUUCACGCCUCCGUUGAUCAUAGUGAUGUUGAUUAUCUCGAUCUUGUUCCAACUGCUGGCCCAAACGAACAAGCUCGUCCACAGUGGUGACUCGACUACUACGCAGUUGGCUGGCCAAGGAGGGAUUGAUAUGUUUUAGAAUCAACUUAAUAAUAUCUUCCUCCUCAAUAUUCGAUUUCCAGCGUCUGCACAGUGAGUGAUACAUAUAUACAAAGUCUCUAAUACUUUCAUUUUCUCCUUGAACUCGAGUUCGUAUCCUUUCAGCGAGCUCAUCCUCAUAGUCCUCAGAGAGGAACGCAGCUCGGAACUGGUCUUGGAAAUCUGUCCAAGUGUGAAUUUUAUACCUUGCAACAUCCCACCAAUCUCUGGCUGUACCGUGUAGCACGUUACGUAAUGUGGCCAUCAACUCUUCAUCGGACAGCAAGGUGGUAAGGACUGGCGCCGUUUGUUCUCCAAUUGCUGGAUGACGAGCUGUAGACUCAAGUCUUGACCUGCUAAAAGUGACUAUAGGUGAACAAUGAGAGAGCUCCCCCUGCAAGCGGGUGAACUCCUCAUAUAAACAGGCAACACUUCCAGUCACUGGGGCAAGCAGAGUGCUGAUUUCCUGGAGAACCUCCGUAUGAUGAUGUUUCAAUCUCCAACUCAACGUCGCUUUGAACUGAGUUCACCAUUUGGGACUGAACUCCAGAUAUGGACAAAGACUCACUCGGUUGGGGAGUAACAGACUGAGCUGACAACGGAGACUUCAGUAGAUCCUCUCCUGUCAAUUCCAUGUCCAAAAGUGAAUAUGCUGUGGAGCAUGUUACAGGUGGUAGAGCAUUUUGUGGUUGGGGGGGGGAUACCUUUUCAAUUAAUGCAUCAAUAAAACCGUCCAUUGUUUUA
Long non-coding RNA from Acanthochromis polyacanthus (spiny chromis), 5018 nucleotides. RefSeq lists it as uncharacterized. The record is from RefSeq and is a predicted model, not a curated record. NCBI's taxonomy places the organism in Eukaryota, Metazoa, Chordata, Actinopteri, Pomacentridae. The transcript is spliced from 4 exons.